Molecule: non-coding RNA, 154 nt
Filed under: Protocruzia adhaerens
Lineage: Eukaryota; Ciliophora; Spirotrichea
Source: RNAcentral
UGAGAGAAAGAGAGAGAGAAAUAAGAUGUCUCGGCGGGCCUUUGGACAUAUGAUCAAAAGUGAGUAUGAUCCGAGAUUUACCCUUGAAAAGGAUUGUUUUCCCCUUUUUUUGGUUUAUUUCAUCUCCUCUCGGAUGUUUGCGACUUUGAUAAGA